Erinaceus europaeus (western European hedgehog) is the source of this 458-nucleotide long non-coding RNA. RefSeq lists it as uncharacterized. The transcript is spliced from 4 exons. Lineage: Eukaryota; Metazoa; Chordata; Mammalia; Eulipotyphla; Erinaceidae. The record is from RefSeq and is a predicted model, not a curated record.
AAAAUCAAUCAAGAAGGGAAGCCCGGCAUAAAGGAAGGAAAUUGCCAGCCACAGGCCUCACCUGGGAUCCAGACAUCCUCACUGUGUUAUCUCUUUGGGAACCUCAAGUCCUUCACCUGCAACUGCCUGCCCUUAAUCGCAGCAACUUUCUCACUGCUCGAGUCUGAGACAGAGAUAUGACAUUUCCCAUGUUUGCACCUGAAUUCCUCAUUUCCUCACAUGGGAAGUAGGGCUGCAGGCUCACUGCCAGGCCAGGCAGCAGCCACACGCGGAGAAUUUGCAUCCGCCGCCAGGGAGGGGAGCGGUGGAGCCAGGCGCAGCUCUGCAGCAGGCUCUCCACGAGAAAUGUGUAAAUGAAGCAGGAGGUUGAGACCCUUAUCCGCUGCAUCUGGAAAAAUCAUCCGGCACGGGCCAGGGGUCCCUGGCUGCCCCACAGCAGCCCGGAGCGCAGGGUUUCC